GCCGAUUUAGCUCAGCUGGUAGAGCAUCUGAUUUGUAAUCAGAGGGUCGUUGGUUCGAAUCCGACAAUCGGCACCA
RNAcentral lists this transfer RNA (76 nucleotides) under Candidatus Bodocaedibacter vickermanii. Its description in RNAcentral is "Candidatus Paracaedibacteraceae bacterium 'Lake Konstanz' tRNA-Thr". It matches the Rfam family "tRNA". From Rfam's summary of the family: Transfer RNA (tRNA) molecules are approximately 80 nucleotides in length. Lineage: Bacteria; Pseudomonadati; Pseudomonadota; Alphaproteobacteria; Holosporales; Candidatus Paracaedibacteraceae. The record is from RNAcentral.